Papaver somniferum (opium poppy) is the source of this 2202-nucleotide long non-coding RNA. RefSeq lists it as uncharacterized. The record is from RefSeq and is a predicted model, not a curated record. The transcript has 10 exons. NCBI's taxonomy places the organism in Eukaryota, Viridiplantae, Streptophyta, Magnoliopsida, Ranunculales, Papaveraceae.
UCUCUCUCUCUCUCUCCCUCUCUCUCAGUAUUAGGGUUCAACUCCUUUUUCACACACACAGAUGAUGAUGACGAUUAUCGAAAUCAUUUAUCUUCUUUUAUCCUAAAUCAGGGUUGAAUGAUUUGUUGACUUCAGAGAUCGCAAAUCCCAAAUCAAGCCGAUCAAUUUAUUAGGCCGCAGGAACACCCAGCUUCUCUUGAUUCCAUUUUAGAACUGCUUCUGCAAUGAGAGACAACUUUUAAGGGCUUACAACUGAAGGCUCCAUCUAUGUACUCUGUGAGAAAUGCUUGAAAGACACUGGUUUCUUAGACUCAAGGAACCAAGGGACGGGGUUAGUGAGUCCCAAUUUAACUAUUUUAGGAACAUUGAGCUAGACUAAACCAUAAAGGCUUGCGAAUUUCUCAAUAAGGAUGCCCGUUACAAGCCUCCUGAGUUGAAAUCGUAGCCAAAGUUUAUAGUGAUUACUGCACAAGAAAAUUGUCACAUCAAGUUCUUUUUAGAAUGAAUCUCCUAAUAAUGUUCCACCUGGUUAGGUGAUUAUUGAGGGAAUAGUGUUGGUGUUGUAGCUAGGGGCUCGUGAACUACAGUGUUCGAAGAAACUGAGAUUGUGUUUUCUUCUAAUUGCAACAUAAUAUUUCCAACAGUCUCCAGUACGAGAUUCUUGAACUCUUCUUCUGGCACAUUUUCUCAUCAUUUGCACCGACCAUCUUGAGCACCUUAUUCACUAUGUGAUAGCAUACAUCAAUUUUGCAUAAGACUAUCAGGAAUGAACACAACUAGUAAUUGGUAUGAAGAUUUGUUGAACCUUAGAUGCGGUUUUCCAAUACUGAGGCGAGGUUUGUUAUUUACCUGAUUGACGGCUCCAUAGGGAGGUAAACUAGCUGAUGGGGCCAGUGAAUCCGGAGCUACACGCAGAUACUCCUUGGACAGUUCCCCACUGCGAUUUCUUGAUACCAAAGAAGCACUACGGCGAUAUCUGUUGGAUAUGAUUGGCUAUAAAAGGGGUUGGAAACAAUCAGCAGAAAACAUCGCUGGUCCAAGACAAUCCUGCACUCUACCUGCACUAUAAAAUUUCAGAGAGGAUCUUUUUAGAUCCUCUCCAACCUUCUAUUCACCCCGGCUCGAGAAUCACCACCAUCAGUACUUCAUUCACAUCAUCUACACCUCUCGAACAUAGGAGAAUUGCCUCACACCUGUUUGUGAAAACAUUCAACAACUCAUCUCUAAAACUCACCACCAGUUUCCCUCACAACUGAAUUCAUCCCGUCACCACCAUACAUUCCACCUCCACAGACCACCGACACCUCCAUCAAUCUAUCGCCAGUUCCUUCAGUACUAGGGCUGGCAAUGGAUAGCCGAAAUCCGAUAUCCGUUUCCGAAAAUCCGACAUCCUAUAGGAUUUAAUCCGACAUAUCGGAUAUCGGAAUCCAAUAGCUUAUCGGAUAAUACCUCUUAUCGGAAUCGGAAUCGGAAUCGGAUUGGGGUCAUUCCGUUAGGUUAAUAUCCGACAUCCGAUAGCCUAGGGGUGUACUUGUAAUCAUACGUUUUAGGCUAUUAGUUUACAUGUUUAUGUUCUCGUCUUUCUUUCCCAUUUUAUUUUCUCUCGGCUACUCCUCCUUUCUCGAUUCUCAGUGAAGAUGUUCACCGCCAUCUCUCUCAACGCACCAAUCAAUCACCACCUUUCCUUCUUCUCCUUCUUCUUCUUCUUCUUCUUCUUCUUCUUCUUCUUCUACUUCUUGUUCUUCGAUUUAGCCAAUCACAGAUCCACAACAGAACAGCCGAAUCAUGAACCAUCACCAGUUCACCUCCACACCAGUAAAAGAAAUAACUUAAUAGAAGUUGCACAAUCUUUUGAGAUAUUCAAAGCUGCUUUUCUGAAGAUUGAUUUGGAUAAUUGCAAGAUAUGAAAGUCAUCGACUGAAGUUGAUGCAAUGAUGCAACAUGUAACCAGGCAGCCAAGGAAGAUCAUCACUAGCAAGUUGUUUGACAUUAUUGUUAAGUCUGUGUACAAGAAGACAUGGAUUUUUCUUUUUUGCUGUUGUGUACUUUAGUUUGCAGACUGUUUGGUUGGGUGUUUGUAGUUUUUUUUUUCAUGUGUGAUGUGACUGAGACACUGGAGUAGUGUUUGCGUGGGUUUUCUGUCUUUCAGUUAAGUUAAACACUUGAAAAUUCCAUUAAAUUUCAGCUUUUGCUUCUGUCCAA